Molecule: long non-coding RNA, 6323 nt
Filed under: Sus scrofa (pig)
Lineage: Eukaryota; Metazoa; Chordata; Mammalia; Artiodactyla; Suidae
Description: lncRNA (ENSSSCG00015079733.1)
Source: RNAcentral
UUUUUUUUUUUUUUUUUUUUUGGCCCUUUUCAGCCACACUUGCGGCAUAUGGAGGUUCCCAGUUUAGAGAUCCAAUAGAAGCUACAGCUAUCAGCCUAUGGCACAAACCACAGAUCUGAGCCAUGUCUGCAACCUACACCACAGCUCACGGCAACACCAGAUCCUUAACCCACUGAGCCCCACUGAGUGAGACCAGGGAUCGAAGCUUCAACUUCAUGGUUCCUAGUCUGAUUCAUUUUUUACUGCACCACAACAGGAACUCCCAAAAAUUAAGUUUUGAUGUGACCCUCAUAUAACUGCUGAUAAAAUGUCAUGCAACAAGAACAUAAGUCAGUUUCUAUUUAUUUGAGAUAAUUUGGGGUCUAAAUUGACCCAAUCUGGACAACACUAGUUUUAUCAUACGAGUCAGUCAAUCACUCAUAGGUCCAGUGCUUUUAACACAAAUAAAGGAAAAACAAAUAAUACAUGAUGGUUUGUUUUCUUUUUUUAUUCAUCAUGUUUAUUUUUUGUUCAAGUAAUAAUUAUAAUUCGUUAGAGGUGUGGGAAGUAAAAAUAUUCCCAUACUCUUACUGUCCCAAAGCUGCGGUUAUUAUAGUUGCCACUAAACCUCCCAGACUUUUAUCAUAUACAACAUAUGUAUAUGUAUAUGUGUAUAACCUAGUUAAAAAUGCUAAUUAAUUCUUUUUGGUUCUCAGGUUCUCAUUUUACCUUCAUCUUCUUAACAUUUGACACAAUUAAUUACUUCUUUCUUCUCAAAACUCCUAUUUCUCUUAUUCAAUAGUGUUGAGCUUAAACACAUAAACUCCUUUUCUUUAGCACCAUAUUUUAAACAGUGACCAAAAUCUGCUAAUGCUACCAUUUGACUGUUUCUCUUAAAUACCAUUUUAUCUCCCCUGGAUGGCUGCAUUAAACUUCAAACUAGUCUCCUUGUCCUCUCUAAUAUACAUCUCCGAUUGCCACUAACAUAACAUUUUCCAGUGAAAUAGGAUGGUGUCACUUCUCUAACUGAAGUCCUUCAAUGACUUCCUUGUGCCUAUACGAUGAAGUUCAUACUUCUCAACACAAAAUGUAAGACCCUAUAUGACCUUAGCCCUGCUUAACUUGUCAUCUGUACCUUUCACUAAGUCAGCCUUUCAUACUUCACGAUCCAGUAAAACUAAACCACAGAAUUUGCUCCUUCUAUCUGGAUUGUCACAAUCACCUCCUCCCUUCCCUAUUUCUUGAGCCCAUUUAAUAAACAUUGUAUCUGUCUCAUCUUUCAACACUCAGUUUAAGCAUUACCAUUUUGACGAAGCCUUCUUUUUCUGUAAACUCUCAGGUAAAACGCCUCAUUCUUGUUAUGCAGUUUCUUGUAUUUUUAUGUAUUUUUUAAUUUUGCCUAUCCACAUCUAAUGAAUUAUAAACUACUUGAACGAAAAAUCUGAGACUGAGUUGUUGCUAUAUCCUUAACAAAAAUCUUAGGAAUGCGUUGUCUUCUCAUCUCUCUCAUAAUGGGGAUUAUGGUUGAACCUCUACUAUUCUAGACUUUUUAUAUGAAUUAUUUUAUUUAAUAUUCACACUAAUUCCACCUCUUCCUUAGAGAAUUAAAAGCUCCAGGACUCAUGGAGUCUGAGUAACUCACCCAAAGUUACACAGCUAGUAAACGUGGGGCCAGAUUUCAAGUAUGGCAGCUUCAACAGCUGUUUCUUCUCCCACCAGGUAGCUCUGACUUAGCAUUUGAUAUCGCUGUAUUUAUGCUGUCCUUUGAGAUUUAUGCCUAAUUUAUGCCCCAUCCUCAGUAAGAGACAAGGGAUCCCACUUUCUUCUUUCAGCUUGAGAGAUUACUCAAUAUAAAACUUUCCUUAUACCAGAUCUGUCUACAUAGAAAGGAAGGGAGACAAAAAGGCUCAGAGAUGGUUUACAUUUAAAAUUGGAACCCUGGGAAUGGUUUCAUAGCCUAGGGUGUUAAUCAAAUAUUAGUCUCUCUAAUAUCAUUCCUGCAGGAAAAUGAGGAAUUUAUAGAGUGAAGUAGUUGAAUGAUAGAUAGAUACAUAGAUAGACAGACACAGACAGACAGAUGAUAGAUAGAUAGAUACCUUAUAGGCUUAUACAUUUAUUUAGAAAAUGUUACCACACAUGAGUUUGACUGAGUUGCCAGGGCUUGCUGUAAGAUUUUAGCUCCAUACUUUAUGAUUAAUAAUUUUCUUGAGAAAAUAUUCAGCAUCUGCUUUCUUCUCACCAAAUGUUUUCUGCUCUGUGUAUCGUUUACUUGGCCAAAGUUAAUAUUGCAAACAAAAAUGUUAAUAACUACAUUUAAUCUACUUAUGUUUAUUAUUUAAUAAAUAUAAAACUCUACAUUCCAAAUAUUCAUUCUAGGAAAGCUCCUUUUUCAAAUCUAAGACUAAACGUUAUUGGAAGAGAAAUGAAAGAACCUAGUCCCCCCCAUAUUAACUGUUAGACAAUUAAAACAACCAAUUUUAGAAGCUACCUGAAAAUUAUCAAACAUUGGCAAUAAAUAUGAGUUGUAAUUGGAUCCUGUCAUCCCAUAAACUUAUUAAUGACCCAAUAUGUGGGACAAUAUUUUUUCUUAUCAGUUCUAUUUCUCAGAACCCUGUUUAAAAAAACCUAUUGCCUCUACUGAAAUUAGCAAUAGCCCUUCUAAACUUUAGAGUUUUCAUCUAAAAUAUCAGUUCUCAAAAGUGUGGUCUUGAGACCCCAGUAAUUCUGUAUGGGCAUCCAAAAGGUCAAAACUAUUUGCAAAACAAUACUAUUUUUUGAAAAUAUUAUUUGUAUUUUUCAUUCUCAUUCUCUCCCAAAUGUACAACAGAGUUUCCCAAGGCUACAUAAUAUGAAAUAGCAUAAGAAACUGGUGCAGAAGAUAAUGUGAGAAUUCAGCAAUUUUUAUUAGCUGGGUAUUUUAAGGUAAAUUGCAAAAAUAUAAAAUCUCACUGUCUUUUGGUGUGUUAUAGGCACAUGAAAAAAAUUUCAUAUCACUAAUCAGCACAGAAAUGCAACGCAAAACCACAAUGAGACAUCACCUCACACACUUUAGAAGGGCUAGUAUCAAAAAGGUCAGAAAUGACAAGUGUUGGAUACAAUACGGAGAAAAGGGAAUGCUCUUCCUCUGUUGCUGGGAAUGUAAACUGGUGCAGCCACCAGUAUGUUGGUAUCUCAAAAAAUUAAAAAUAGAAAGAACUACCAUAUAAUCCAGCAAUUCCACUUCUGGGUAUUUAUCCAAAGAGGACAAAAACACUAAUUAGAAAAGACAUAUACACCCUAUGUUCACUGCAGCAUUAUUUACAACAGCCAAGAUAUGGAAACAACCUAAGUGCCUAGUGACAGAUAAAUGGAGAAAGAAUUGGCAUGUGUGUGUAUAUAUAUGAUGCAUAUACAUAUAUAUAUAAUGUCACAGCUGUAGCAACUCUGGAUCCUUAACUUGCUACACCACAGCAAGAACUCCUAUUCUACUCUAUUCUUGCCACAUAUGUGCUUUCUGUUUAGCUUAUUGGCCAUCCUUGGUAUAUUGUUCUACUUUGGGUUGUCUGUUAUCUUACAAAAUCUAAGAUAGUUAAAGUCUUCUGAUUCUUACCUUUAAACAGACAAAUUAAUUUCUGUCAAUAACUCCAUCUGAGGGAAUGAUACAUGUGUUGGUGACAUUUCACAGACAGACUUCAUAGAUUCUGUUCUGAACAAACAUAUGGUGCCAUCACGGAUAUCUGUGAGCUUUAUCAUUUAAAAAAAAAAAAAAAGAAUUUCUUGAUGUCAGAGAGUUUUCAUGUUGCUGUUGUGUAGGAUGAUGAAUUAUCUUAAAAUUAUUUAGGUUUUCAUUAUAUCAGACCCCACCUGGGCCUUCCACAGAUUCCACAGGACUACAGAGCAGCCCAGAAUAAUUAUAAUCAUAAUUAUUAAUAUGCGAUAUCAUAUCUAUGCGAUAUUAAUACCUAAACUUGGAGCCCAACUUGGAGGUGCUCAGAACAGAGCAGCAGUCCUGAACACUCCUUUUAAACACUCUCUCCUUUUAUGACUGAUCCUCCACACACUUCUAGUCCUUCUCCCAUCUCUAAUGACAACAGUCCACGCCUUACACAGACCUCUUUCAAUGGCUAUGCCUCAGCCCUUCUCUCUCCUCAUCCCACAGGCAAGCAUGUCCACACUCACGUGUGCAGGUAUCAGCUCUCUACAGAUGACUCUCAAAUCACAAGUCCAACCUCAACUUAGCUUGUGAAGGCAAGGCCUCAAUUUCUACUAGAAUGUUCAGUAACUUCCGAUGUUUGAUAACUGUUCUAACAACUGUUAAAUAGCUCUUCUCAUAAUAUACAAAACCCAAUUCACUACUUUUCCCAACAAACAACACAACUUAAAUUUGCUCCUCUCUCUCUACUUCACCGGCUUUCGACUAUAAGGAAUUUUGUCCUCCACCCUCAGCUCCAGGGUACUUUUGCCAAUGCCUGGAGAUAUUUUGCUUGUCACAAUUGAGGAAGGGGUUCUAUUGGUAUCUAGUGGGUAGGAUCAGUGAUGUUUCUAAGAACCCUACUAUGCACAGGACAGGACCCACAGAAAAGAAUGAUCUAAUGUGCUGCUAGUGCCAAGAUAGGUCACUCUAAUCCCAUCAUUGUCCAUCUUCCCUCCAGCCAAACAAGGGUCCCAGGGCUCUGGCAAAGAUGUGGAUACCAGAAGCCUUCAUGGCUGAAUUUUAAACUGGCUCAACUGGAGGUCAUGGAGCAACAGAGCCCUGAAUACAGCAGGAGGGCCACCAAGGUGAAGAUGGCCUCAAAAAACAAAUGGAAAGUGAUUGAAAGUCAUGUUAUAUUGGAAAUUGCCACUGAAAUAUCAAAAUGUAAUAAAUGCUGCAUUUUUAAUGGAUGCUAUGCUGUAUGAAGUUUUUCAAAAGAUUGAGUUGAUCAUUCCAUGAUUCUCUCAACUAUCUCAGCCAAUUUGAAGGUUAAAAACAGGCUGAAGAGCAGCAGUGGAGAGUAUUUCAGUGUGCAAGGUAUCUUGGCAAAUUGCUACCCCUUGUACCAGAGGCCCACCUCUGGAGGAACAGAUGGGAAAGUGGCAGAAGCCUGCUCCUUAUCUCCAACUGGUAAGAGGGAGUUCCCAGGGACUGCUCAGACGUGGACAUGUCUUCUCUGUUUGUGGAGAUGCAGUAGCCUACUGCACAGCUCAGACCUGGGCAAUUUAGAUGCUGAGAUGGGCUGGCGAGCAGGUUUAGAAGCAGCAUGCUGCUGAGUUAGGAUAAGUUUGCUUUCCCAGAGCCUGCCUGAGACAAAAACGUGUUUGUGCUUUCCAUUGACCAGAUGAGGCUCAGGCAGCAAGUGAGUUAUAUACAAGAACUGCCUAUGAUAAGUCCUCAGUAGGCAAAGGCUCAAGAUGGAUAAGGGAAUUUCUGGGAGCUGCAGAGGAAGGAAGUGACCCACUGAAAUAGAGAAGCUUUGAUCUGCAUUAAGGUGCUACAGACAAGACACUCUGGAUGUGCCAGGGUCCCCAAGGACUCCCCAAAAGUGCUCCCAAGAAGAGAAUCCGCUCUAAUCCAUCUGUCAGGCUGGAGAGAACAGUCAGGCUAAAACAGUAGCCAAGCAACAACUUUUACAUCUCCCUUAUUGCUCCUCCCUCCCCUACAGCCUGACAAACCAAGAGAAACAAUGCUAGGAGCAAAGCUGCCAGCAGCCAUGGCAAAGCAAGCCCCUGCUUGGCAAGAAGUGGUAGGAGGAGGUUUGAACUUUAAAUUCCCUAUCUGAUUUCUGUUAUUUGAUGGCAUAUUCUCCUUAUUUUUGUUUUUGGUUUUUGUUUGCUUUUUAGGGCCACACCCAUGGCAUAUGGAAGUUCCCAGGCUAGGGGUCAAAUCAGAGCUGCAGGUGCCAGCCUAGGCCACAGACACAGAUCUGGACUGACUGGUGCCAGAUCCAAGCUGCAUCUGCAGCCUACACCACAGCUCACAGCAAUGCCAGAUCCUUAAUCCACUGAGCAAGGUCAGGGAUCAAACCGGCAUCCUCGUGGAUAAUAGUUGGGUUCAUUUCUGCAGAGCCACAAUGGGAACUCCCAUAUUCUCCUUAAUGUAUUGAGAUGAGUUAUCUAAAGCUACUAUAUUUCCUCCUCUCACCUGAGAUGGGAGAAGAAAAGUAUGCAGCCUGCCCAGAUGUGGAUGCACUGAUAGGGAAGGUACUAGCCAUAACGAGUAGCAUAAAAAAAUCAGUGGGGACACUGUCCUUUGAAAAGAAUUACUUCCACACUUAUAGUUCCUGUGUGUCUAUCAGUUCCAAAGGUGUGGGCAGUGAGUCAAACCUAAAUUCAAAGGGGUGGAUCUGGCACCAAUCAGUUCAACAGUAUGAAUGAAUAUACAAGGG